CAGCGCCGCGGUAAUACGUAGGGCGCAAGCGUUGUCCGGAAUUAUUGGGCGUAAAGAGCUCGUAGGCGGUCUGUCGCGUCUGGUGUGAAAUCCCGAGGCUCAACCUCGGGCUUGCAUCGGGUACGGGCAGACUAGAGUGCGGUAGGGGAGACUGGAAUUCCUGGUGUAGCGGUGGAAUGCGCAGAUAUCAGGAGGAACACCGAUGGCGAAGGCAGGUCUCUGGGCCGCAACUGACGCUGAGGAGCGAAAGCAUGGGGAGCGAACAGGAUUAGAUACCCCCGUAGUCCCUGUCUCUUAUACA
This 301-nucleotide ribosomal RNA is filed under the name uncultured bacterium. Its description in RNAcentral is "partial 16S ribosomal RNA". It matches the Rfam family "Bacterial small subunit ribosomal RNA", at positions 509 to 808 of the family's 1533-position model. The record is from RNAcentral.